AUUGAACGCUGGCGGCAUGCCUUACACAUGCAAGUCGAACGGCAGCACGGGUGCUUGCACCUGGUGGCGAGUGGCGAACGGGUGAGUAAUACAUCGGAACGUACCUUAUCGUGGGGGAUAACGCAGCGAAAGCUGUGCUAAUACCGCAUACGCCCUGAGGGGGAAAGCGGGGGAUCGCAAGACCUCGCGCGAUUAGAGCGGCCGAUGCCUGAUUAGCUUGUUGGUGGGGGAAAAGCCCACCAAGGCGACGAUCAGUAGCUGGUCUGAGAGGAAGAUCAGCCACACUGAGACUGAGACACGGCCCAGACUCCUACGGGAGGCAGCAGUGGGGAAUUUUGGACAAUGGGGGCAACCCUGAUCCAGCAAUGCCGCGUGAGUGAAGAAGGCCUUCGGGUUGUAAAGCUCUUUUGUCAGGGAAGAAACACCGGCUCUAACACAGUCCGGGAAUGACGGUACCUGAAGAAUAAGCACCGGCUAACUACGUGCCAGCCGCCGCCGUAA
RNAcentral lists this ribosomal RNA (501 nucleotides) under uncultured bacterium. Its description in RNAcentral is "partial 16S ribosomal RNA". It matches the Rfam family "Bacterial small subunit ribosomal RNA", at positions 29 to 523 of the family's 1533-position model. The record is from RNAcentral.